UACGAAGGGGGCUAGCGUUGCUCGGAAUCACUGGGCGUAAAGGGCGCGUAGGCGGCCCGUCAAGCGUGUGGUGAAAGCCCCGGGGCUCAACUCCGGGUCGGCCAUGCGAACUAGCGGGCUCGAGCACUGUAGAGGUCGGUAGAAAUUCCGGGUGUAGCGGUGGAAUGCGUAGAGAUCCGGAAGAAUACCAGUGGCGAAGGCGGCCGACUGGGCAGUUGCUGACGCUGAUGGCGCGACAGCGUGGGGAGCAACAGGG
RNAcentral lists this ribosomal RNA (256 nucleotides) under uncultured bacterium. RNAcentral's name for it is "partial 16S ribosomal RNA". It matches the Rfam family "Bacterial small subunit ribosomal RNA", at positions 524 to 776 of the family's 1533-position model. The record is from RNAcentral.